This 339-nucleotide ribosomal RNA is filed under the name uncultured bacterium. RNAcentral's name for it is "bacterial SSU rRNA". It matches the Rfam family "Bacterial small subunit ribosomal RNA", at positions 335 to 666 of the family's 1533-position model. The record is from RNAcentral.
ACUCCUACGGGAGGCAGCAGUGGGGAAUUUUGGACAAUGGGCGCAAGCCUGAUCCAGCAAUGCCGCGUGAGUGAAGAAGGCCUUCGGGUUGUAAAGCUCUUUUGUCAGGGAAGAAACGGCUGUGGCUAAUAUCCACGGCUAAUGACGGUACCUGAAGAAUAAGCACCGGCUAACUACGUGCCAGCAGCCGCGGUAAUACGUAGGGUGCAAGCGUUAAUCGGAAUUACUGGGCGUAAAGCGUGCGCAGGCGGUUUUGUAAGUCUGACGUGAAAUCCCCGGGCUCAACCUGGGAAUUGCGUUGGAGACUGCAAGGCUAGAAUCUGGCAGAGGGGGUAGGAA